Long non-coding RNA from Acromyrmex echinatior (Panamanian leafcutter ant), 1470 nucleotides. NCBI's taxonomy places the organism in Eukaryota, Metazoa, Arthropoda, Insecta, Hymenoptera, Formicidae. The record is from RefSeq and is a predicted model, not a curated record.
AUAUCAAUCACGUUAUGUCAUAAAAUAACAUAAAAUCUGUGAAGAAAAUACGAUCGUUCAGAAACGUCCAGCAUAUUAUAUACUUAUGUGCCUGCUGAAAUAAUGUCGACGACAACGACACUCGCACGAUUCUUUCGUAUGAUGUGCGAUUAUACUCUUUAACGAGACGUUGUCUGCCGAAAAUUUCGCGGUACCGCGGUACACGAUUAUCGGAUUCACUCGCGAAAGAAAGAAAUGGCGAGCGACGUGGCCGACACGAUCGGCGAUUAAUUAAACGAAGGAUACGGUAUACCAGAAUUAAUUAGUUACCACUAAGUCAAAGGCGGCAUUUGUUCGAGCAUGCAGCAACCUUCGCCCGUUCAAAAAAUUAUUUGUCAUGUCUCUCGCCAACUAACACACCGUGCCACGAUCCAUUAACAUUAAUCAAUGACAAUUAAUAAACAGUUCCAAAAAUAAUAAUAAUAAUCAUAGUAAGAAGAGUAAUAAGUAUUACAGACUGUGCCGCCAUGGCAGCCCGUACGUGAAGUAGUGACAGAGAACUAACAAAAAGAAAAGGGAAAGGAAAAAAAUAUCGAAAAGAAAUUGCAUCGAAAGAGAAAAAGAAAACAAAACAAGUGAGAUGAACAUGCUUUCUCGUGUCUGUUGCGUUUGUUCUUGCUCAUUAUUUUUGUCAUCCUCGCGGAGAUACUCGUUAGCUUGUGCAAUAUGCAUCCUGAUUUAAACGAUAUGUGAAAAAAGAGACAAAAGAACGCACGAGAAAGACAAAGAAAGAAAGAAAGAAAGAAGGAAAGAAGAAAGAGAAGAAACGGAGACAAAGUGAAAGGAAAAAAAGUAAAAAAACACGAUACUGAAAGUCGCUUUCACAAACUACUUCGCAGCUUUGUAAUGUAUACGUUAUGAGUGCACAUAUGUUGUUAAUCGUACGAUACUGCCAGGACGGAUUAUCAUACGUGUGAAAUUACAAUAUAAUAAAUAUGUGUCCGCGUGCAUAUAGCGCUUCUGUGACGUUUCUGUGAAAAAACGUUUCUGUGUAUAUACACGCGGAUACAUAUCGCAUAUCGGUAUAAAUAUAUAUAUCAAUAUAUAUAUGUAAUGUAUAUAUAUAUAUAUUCACAGGUGAAUCUCAUAUGAAGGCAAGCCAAGGCCACGACAUGAGACGUGCAAAUUAAAAAAGCUUUCUCACCGCGAAGUAGAGACGAAUGAUAAGAUAGGAGGACUUCGUUUCGGCUCGAGGGAAACAACAAAAGAAAAAUUGGUUGUGUAAGAGAAACUUAGGAAUGGCUGAGCAUGGUUGUAUCUCUCCUGCUGGACGAUAGAGAAAAGGCAAGUACAAUAAACAAAAAUAUAUAUGUAUAUAUAACAGGAGAGACAGUCUUUAAUCCCGAGCUGGCUGAACGACGAGCAAUUAGUUGUAGGUAAAUAAAUAUUCUGGACCACCCACCUUGGUUCUGCUGGGAUCAUCGAGAACCC